GCAAUAGUGAUUCCUUAGAAUGCAUGUUUGAUAUUUUAGCUCCUUUCAGCUCGAGUUUCUGGGGGGAUGGAGUCUAUUCCCGCCUUUUCUGAUUACAUUCCCUUGAGUAUUCAAAUAGGUUAAAUGAGCACUGGCCACACCAAACAUACCCGUCACCUCUGGAGCUGGUUCCAAUUCAUCCUCUCUGCGAAGAUGAGUGGACGCAUGUGGCCUUUACAACACCGGCCCACUGGAAAGAUCUAUGGGCAGAAGGGAAAACAGACAUGAGACCAUUACCUGGAAUCAAAGCCAGUACCUUCUCGCCCAGCAUCCUGGGAAGUGCCGUCUCAAAGAACUGUCUUUUUCCCCCAACAGGAUACUUGCUCUAGUUUAUAAAAAGUCACACUGUGGAUGCACAUAUGAAUGUCCCGACGAAGCAACAGUCUAGGAAGUUUCAUUACAGCUCUGAUUUUGACUCCCUGAUGAUUGUACUUCGAACGGGAAGUGAUUUCUGGCUCUGCCUUAGCUGCCUUGGAACGUCACUCAUGAGCUGCCCUGAACACACCGCAAAGCUGCGAGUUGUUUUCUUGUUUGUUUCGUCAAAGCUGCACCUGUUUUCUGUACUGAAAAUAGUGCCUCAUGGAUCUAAAGCCAAACCCAAGCCCGAGGCAGGAAACAAACAAACCAACAACGACAACCAGAAAAGACACUGUUACUCUGGUAUUCUGGUGCAUUAUAUCAACAGAAUAAUAGAAGAGUCAAGCUUUGGAAACCUUAACUUUCAAGGAAAACUUGGAAUUUGAAAUGAGCAUGCUAAUGAUUUUUGAGCUCCUACAAACCGGGAAGAUUUGCCUGUCGGUAGCAAAAAGUUAUAGAGACUGUAUUAGUGACGGUUCUCUAGAGAAACAGAAUCAACAAGAGAUAUCUUUACAUGUACAUGAAAUGCAGACAUAUGCACAUUUAUGUUAUGUUAUAUUUAUUAUAGGAAUCGAUUGAUGUGAUUAUGGAAGCGUGGGACAUUCCAAUCUGCCCUCUGCAAGCGGUAGACUAGGAAAGCCAAUGGUGUAAGUCCUAGUCCAAGUGCAAAGGCCCAGGUACCAGGACUGCUUAUGUCUGAGGGCAGGAGAUGAUGGAUGUAUCAGCUCAGCAGAGAGCAAAUCUGCCCUUCCUCUGACUUUUUGUUCUAUUCAGGCCCCCAACAGAUUGGAUUAUGCCUACCUGCAUCGGUGAGGUUGAUCUUCUUUAUUCUGUCUACCAAAUCAAAUGCUCAUCUCUUGUGACCAUGCCCUUCACGGACACACGCAAAAAUAAUGUGUUAUCGCUCUCUGGGCAUCCCUUAGGCCAGUCAAAUUGACACAUAAAAUUAAACAUUACAGAGACUAACAAAGUGUUAAAUGUUAAUGAUAUUAACUAGGUUUAAAAGUAUUUUCCACACACACCAGGAUGGCUAAUAUAAAAACAAAAACGAAACCACGAUCUCACAGCGAGUGUUUGCAAGAAUAUGGAGAUGGAGAGAUUGGAAGCCCUGUGUCCCGCUGAUGAGAUUGCAAAAUGGUGCGGCCACUAUGGAAAAUAGUAUGGAAGUUCCUCAAAAGAUUAAAAAUAAAACUACCGGACAAUCCAGCAAUUGCACUGAAUGCGUGUACUUGAAGAGAUAUUUGUACAGCCAUGUUUACAGUAUCACUAUUCACAGUAGCCAAAAAGUGGUAGCAAUCCAAGUGUAGGUACACUGGUGGGUAAAUGGAAACACAAAAUGUGGUGUAUACAAAGGCUAGAAUAUUUAUCAUUCAGCCUUAAAAGGGAAGGAAAUUCCGACACAUGCCACAACGUGGAUGAACCUUAAGGACAUUAUGCCCAAUGAAAUAAGCCAAUUACAAGAAGGCAGAUACUGUAUGAUUCCACUUACAUGAGGUAUCCAAAGCAGUCAGAUUCACAGAGAUAGUAGAAAGUUGGUUGCCAGGGGCUGGGGAGACUGGGAAUGGAAAGGUGGUUUUUAAUAGAGUUUCAGGUUUAUGAGGUGAAAAAGUCCUAGAGAUCGGUUGCCCAACAAUGUGAAUACCCUUAACAAGACUGAACUCUCGAAAAUAAAAUGCUAAAUUCUAUGUCGUGUGCCUUUUGCCACCAUUAAAAAGAAUACUCGUGUGAGUAUGUUUCUG
Molecule: long non-coding RNA, 2135 nt
Filed under: Lynx canadensis (Canada lynx)
Lineage: Eukaryota; Metazoa; Chordata; Mammalia; Carnivora; Felidae
Description: lncRNA (ENSLCNG00005019759.1)
Source: RNAcentral